CGUGAUCCGGGUUGCGGACAGUGUCUGGUGGGUAGUUUGACUGGGGCGGUCUCCUCCUAAAGAGUAACGGAGGAGCACGAAGGUUGGCUAAUCCUGGUCGGACAUCAGGAGGUUAGUGCAAUGGCAUAAGCCAGCUUGACUGCGAGCGUGACGGCGCGAGCAGGUGCGAAAGCAGGUCAUAGUGAUCCGGUGGUUCUGAAUGGAAGGGCCAUCGCUCAACGGAUAAAAGGUACUCCGGGGAUAACAGGCUGAUACCGCCCAAGAGUUCAUAUCGACGGCGGUGUUUGGCACCUCGAUGUCGGCUCAUCACAUCCUGGGGCUGAAGUAGGUCCCAAGGGUAUGGCUGUUCGCCAUUUAAAGUGGUACGCGAGCUGGGUUUAGAACGUCGUGAGACAGUUCGGUCCCUAUCUGCCGUGGGCGCUGGAGAACUGAGGGGGGCUGCUCCUAGUACGAGAGGACCGGAGUGGACGCAUCACUGGUGUUCGGGUUGUCAUGCCAAUGGCACUGCCCGGUAGCUAAAUGCGGAAGAGAUAAGUGCUGAAAGCAUCUAAGCACGAAACUUGCCCCGAGAUGAGUUCUCCCUGACUCCUUGAGAGUCCUGAAGGAACGUUGAAGACGACGACGUUGAUAGGCCGGGUGUGUAAGCGCAGCGAUGCGUUGAGCUAACCGGUACUAAUGAACCGUGAG
This 687-nucleotide ribosomal RNA is filed under the name Escherichia coli. Its description in RNAcentral is "partial 23S ribosomal RNA". It matches the Rfam family "Bacterial large subunit ribosomal RNA", at positions 2234 to 2915 of the family's 2925-position model. The record is from RNAcentral. Lineage: Bacteria; Pseudomonadati; Pseudomonadota; Gammaproteobacteria; Enterobacterales; Enterobacteriaceae.